This is a non-coding RNA of Acanthosepion pharaonis, 98 nucleotides long. Lineage: Eukaryota; Metazoa; Mollusca; Cephalopoda; Sepiida; Sepiidae. The record is from the annotation of a GenBank genome assembly.
UUGAAACACCAGUUCUUAUAUGAUCGCUGAAGUUAAGCAACACUAAGCCUGGUCAGUAUCGAGAUGGGUGACCACUUGGGAAUGCCAGGUGCUGGAAG